CCUGAGUUUUAUUAUGGCACGUUUUGCAAACACAAAAUAUUAUUUCAGUUUUUUUUUUUAAACGUCUAGUUGUUGCUUUUAGUUCUGUGAACUAAAAGUGGGCACUGUGGGUUUUAAGCAACUGGAUAAGAGAAGCGAUUAAGGAAAUUCAUGGAUAGACAAACUAAAAUGUAUUUCAGUGUAUUUUAAUGUGGUUUUAGUUACCCUUGUUUGGGUGUGAAGAAACUUCACAGUGUAACCAAGUAUGUAAUCAGCAGAUUAUGUUUUAAAAAGCAUACAUAGCAGAUCGUUACAUGGAGAAACCUUUUGAAUACAAGCGUGCUGAUCCACACAGGUGUUCACAGACACAAACUACUACUGUCGAUCUUGCGUGCUGCACAAUAACAUGUAAUAUUUAGUAUCUACUGUUAUCUACUGUUAGCUAGUUUAUUGUGAUGGUGUUGUAUUUAUUAUGUUGCUCUUUUUUGUUUGUUUUCUCUUCUGUGUUUUUUUUUUAUCUCCAUACAGGUGAUCCUGGUGUUUUGUUUGUUUUUCUUUUUUUUCUUCCCCCCUUUCUCACCAUCUCUUCUCCCCUCUAUUUUUCUUUCUCUCCCUCUAUUUCUUUCAUUCUUUCUCCCUGUCCUAUCCCCCAGUCAUGUCUGUCCCGUCUGUAACAACCAAAAAUCAAAUCAAAUAAAUACAUAAUUAUAAUAAAGAUCAAUCAAAUGGACCAAUAUGGCAAGGCCAUGAUAAUUCAGUUGGUAAAGUAGAUCCGCUUGGCAUCUUUCUUGCCCUUCAGACAACAAUUCUGAUGGCUAAAGAUCCAAACGGGACAGGCAACAAAAAAAAAAAAGUGUACAUUUGAGAAAUCCAUAGUAGGGAGAUGAACUGGAGUGCACACCGAGUGAGAAAGUGAUUAAAGUUAUUGUCUAAAAAUGAGAAACAGAAGACAAUUAUGCAGCCCUAUUUAUCUUUUUAUUGUUACCACUUUGUCCUCUUGCACUGGCCCUGCCUUUGUUUUCUGCAUCUCCUCUGCAAUUGCAGGAGUGUGUUCCUCGUGUUUCAGUGGGUAGGGGCAAACCCAGUGCAUUCAGUCAUCCAUCCUUCCCUGGAUCAUGUGCUGCUCACCUCUCUAGAAAAGUUACAAAAUAAUGGGUUGUAAUCUGAUUUCGAUUGAUGUUUGUAGAUACCUGGCCUGUCUUCCCCCUUCAAAGAAAAGAAGUUUGGGUGUGUGAACACCACCCUCUUUGUCGGUCCAGCUGAUGGACAGAUAACAAUUCAGAUGUGUCUGUUGCUC
Long non-coding RNA from Astatotilapia calliptera (eastern happy), 1276 nucleotides. The record is from Ensembl. Lineage: Eukaryota; Metazoa; Chordata; Actinopteri; Cichliformes; Cichlidae.